RNAcentral lists this ribosomal RNA (301 nucleotides) under uncultured bacterium. Its description in RNAcentral is "partial 16S ribosomal RNA". It matches the Rfam family "Bacterial small subunit ribosomal RNA", at positions 509 to 807 of the family's 1533-position model. The record is from RNAcentral.
CAGCCGCCGCGGUAAAACGAAGGGUGCAAGCGUUAAUCGGAAUUACUGGGCGUAAAGCGUGCGCAGGCGGUUGUGUAAGACAGGUGUGAAAUCCCCGGGCUUAACCUGGGAACUGCAUUUGUGACUGGCAAGCUAGAGUGUGGCAGAGGGGGGUGGAAUUCCGCGUGUAGCAGUGAAAUGCGUAGAUAUGCGGAGGAACACCGAUGGCGAAGGCAGCCCCCUGGGCCAACACUGACGCUCAUGCACGAAAGCGUUGGGAGCAAACAGGAUUAGAUACCCCCGUAGUCCCUGUCUCUUAUAC